GUUCCUACGGGGGGCAGCAGUGGGGGAUAUUGCACAAUGGGGGGAACCCUGAUGCAGCGACGCCGCGUGAGUGAAGAAGUAUUUCGGUAUGUAAAGCUCUAUCAGCAGGGAAGAAGAAAGACGGUACCUGAGUAAGAAGCCCCGGCUAACUACGUGCCAGCAGCCGCGGUAAUACGUAGGGGGCAAGCGUUAUCCGGAUUCACUGGGCGUAAAGGGAGCGCAGGCGGCAUGGCAAGUCUGAUGUGAAAACCCGGUGCCCAACCCCGGGAGUGCAUUGGAAACUGCAAGGCUGGAGUGUCGGAGGG
RNAcentral lists this ribosomal RNA (305 nucleotides) under uncultured bacterium. RNAcentral describes it as "bacterial SSU rRNA". It matches the Rfam family "Bacterial small subunit ribosomal RNA", at positions 335 to 656 of the family's 1533-position model. The record is from RNAcentral.